AAAAAGUAUCUGUUCUUUGCCAAGAAAAUUAUCUAAUUCAGGAAGGAGAAGAAAUUACAUGCAAAGAUGGAAGAUGGCAGUCAAUACCACUCUGUGUUGAAAAAAUUCCAUGUUCACAACCACCUCAGAUAGAACAUGGAACCAUUAAUUCAUCCAGGUCUUCACAAGAAAGUUAUGCACAUGGGACUAAAUUGAGUUAUACUUGUGAAGGUGGUUUCAGGCUAUCUGAAGAAAAUGAAACAACAUGCUACAUGGGAAAAUGGAGUUCUCCACCUCAGUGUGAAGGCCUUCCAUGUAAAUCUCCACCUGAGAUUUCUCAUGGUGUUGUAGCUCACAUGUCAGACAGUUAUCAGUAUGGAGAAGAAGUUACGUACAAAUGUUUUGAUGGUUUUGGAAUUGAUGGGCCUGCAAUUGCAAAAUGCUUAGGAGAAAAAUGGUCUUACCCUCCAUUGUGCAUAAGUAUGGUGCAUUGAAUUUUAUUAUAUGUAUGAUAAAUAUUCUUCAUUCAAAGUAUAAAUGGUGCCAAUAAGAAAGUAAACAGUGACUCUAGAAAUUCAUAAGGUUUUCUUGAAUAUUCUGGACUGUUGUGGGAAAUUAUAGCUGUAGUAAUUAAAACAUUUGACAUUAUAAGACAAAUUGGUUCAUUUUCACAUCAUCUUGUGUGAACUUUAAGCAUCCUCUGAUGUAUAUUCUCAGACUUCUUAUCUCUGUUCUUAGGGCACAGCUACCUCUACUCAUCAAUCUCCACAUUAU
Molecule: small RNA, 753 nt
Filed under: Pongo abelii (Sumatran orangutan)
Lineage: Eukaryota; Metazoa; Chordata; Mammalia; Primates; Hominidae
Description: retained intron
Source: RNAcentral